This is a long non-coding RNA of Helianthus annuus (common sunflower), 2266 nucleotides long. RefSeq lists it as uncharacterized. The transcript has 5 exons. The record is from RefSeq and is a predicted model, not a curated record. NCBI's taxonomy places the organism in Eukaryota, Viridiplantae, Streptophyta, Magnoliopsida, Asterales, Asteraceae.
CUCUCUAACUCUCAAAAUCCUCUCAACUCUCUCUCUAGAAACAAGUCCGGCGAGAAUUCCGGCCGACUUCCGGCGGAGUUCCGGCGACCGGCGACUUUUCCGGCAGAGUUCCGGCGACCGACGAUUUUUCGGCGAAUUUUCCGGCGGCCGUUUUUCAGCCAAGAGUACACUUUUUCGACUAUAUCCGACGUUCCGGAUCGCGUGGUGAGAUGCUUAGAUCGGGACUUGGGGAGCAUUUCUGCAAAUUUUCAAGAAAUUUUAUUCUCCGGCGAAAUUCCGACUUCUGACAUGGUUUUGGCGAGGUUCCAGCCGUCCGUUUUCGACGAAAAUUAUAUUUUUGGGCUCCUAGUGACCCGUAGAGUCCAUACGAAACACUUUCGUCUCGGGUGAAAAUUUAAGUUCGGGACGCUCUCGGGCUCGGGUCAACGCGGUCAACAAGUCAAACACGGGUCAAGAGGCAGUUUUGGGUAUUUUUAGUGCCUUGGUUCAAUUUCGGGUCCGGUCAACCCUGGUCAACACGGGUCAAACGUGGUCAAAGGUGGUCAAAGCUGGUCAAACGCAGUCAACUGUUGGUCAACGCAGUCAACUCAGUCAACACGACGCUCGGAAUGUCGUAGUUGCACGCUAGCUACUUCACAUUCUUGGAACGACACUACGGAAUCACGCUAAGCUAGAUUUGCCCAGGAAUAUCCAGGUGAGUUCAUAACCCCACCUUUUUACGGUUUUACAAACGUGAACUAAAAACGCGAUAGUAGGAAACGCAUCGGCAACGAGACGGAAGCGACGGUGGCGCUUGUCACCUUCAGAACUUACAUUUUACGCUAUAUUUAACUCCGUAAUGAAAUUUUAGUAGUUACAGUCGAAAUCGGAUCGAAAAACGGAUUAGAAACGACCUCCUGAGCAAAUUUCGCGGAUUUAACGCAACCGACGAACGAACGCGUCAACCGUCAACUUCCGACGCUAUUUUACAUAUCCUUGAUCCUAAAAUGACAUUGUACGAUAUUACACGACGUUCGGGUGCAAAAAGGGCUUUAGAAACGAGAUCGGGCGGUUCAAAAUGCUAGAAACAGGCUUGUGGGCCUUGGGCCCAAGCCCACAAAACCCUCACUAUAUAAAGGGUUUUACCCCGAAAAUCUCUCAUUUUCACCUAAACUUUCUCUCUCUAACUCUCAAAAUCCUCUUAACUCUCCCUCUCUAGAAACAAGUCCGGCGAGAAUUCCGGCCGACUUCUAGCGGAGUUCCGGCGACCGGCGACUUUUCCGGCGGAGUUCCGGCGACCGGCGAUUUUCCGGCGGCCGUUUUUCGGCCAAGAGUACACUUUUUCGACUAUAUCCGACGUUCCGGAUCGCGUGGUGAGAUGCUUAGAUCGGGACUUGGGGAGCAUUUCUGAAAAUUUUCAAGAAAUUUUAUUCUCCGGCGAAAUUCCGAUUUCUGACAUGGUUUUGGCAAGGUUCCAGCCGUCCGUUUUCGACCAAAAGUAUAUUUUUGGGUUCCUAAUGACCCGUAGAGUGCAUACGAAACACUUUUGUCUCGGGUGAAAAUUUAUGUUCGGGACGCUCUCGGGCUCGGGUCAACGCGGUCAACAGGUCAAACACGGGUCAAGAGGCAGUUUUGGGUCAUUUUUAGUACCUCGGUUCAGUUUCGGGUCCGGUCAACCCUGGUCAACACGGGUCAAACGUGGUCAAAGCUGGUCAAAGCUGGUCAAACUCAGUCAACUGUUGGUCAACGCAGUCAACUCAGUCAACACGAGGCUCGGAAUGUCGUAGUUGCACGCUAGCUACUUCACAUUCUUGGAACGACACUGCGGAAUCACGUUAAGCUAGCCUUGCCAAGGAAUAUCCAGGCGAGUUCAUAACCCCACCUUUUUAUGGUUUUACACUUUUGUAAAUGUUUUCGGGGUGGAAAGACAUGCACGUUUUUCAGAAACAUACAAGGUUAUCGAUAAACAAAGAUCGCAUAUUUUAGACAAAGCACGUUUCGCAAGAACAUACAAAGUUUUCGAAUGAAUGAAAACUCACAUUUCUAAAUCAUGUUACAAACGGAUUUCAAGGAACUCAAACGGUUUACGAAUGAACUUUAUACUAAUUAAACCGGUUUUUACAAAACAAAUGCGUAUUAUCGAAAUGUGAUUGAUGGUUUUUUACUAGGGGAAAUUAGCCUUAGAGGUUGGGGAGGUGCAGCCUUAGAGGCUGGGGUAAAAUACAUGCGACAGUUAUUACAGACAUUUACAGACAUUACAGACAUUUAUAGACAUUUACAGACAUUU